This 494-nucleotide ribosomal RNA is filed under the name uncultured bacterium. Its description in RNAcentral is "partial 16S ribosomal RNA". It matches the Rfam family "Bacterial small subunit ribosomal RNA", at positions 28 to 507 of the family's 1533-position model. The record is from RNAcentral.
GACGAACGCUGGCGGCGUGCUUAACACAUGCAAGUCGAACGGAAAGGCCUGCUUUCCCUUGUGGAUUGCGGGUACUCGAGUGGCGAACGGGGGAGUAACACGUGAGUGAUCUGCCCCCAACUUGGGUAUAAUCCUGGGAAACUGUGUCUAAUUCCCGAUAGGACUGCAGGGUGGUGCCUGUGGUGGAAAACGAUUUUCUAGUGGUUGGGGAUGAGCUCGCGGCCUAUCAGCUUGUUGGUGGGGUAAUGGCCUACCAAGGCGGCGACGGGUAGCCGGCGUGAGAGGGUGGACGGCCAGAUUGGGACUGAGAGCAGGCCCAGACUGCUACGGGAGGCAGCAGUGGGGAAUAUUGCACCACGGGCGGAAGCCUGAUGCAGCGACGCCGGGUGGGGGAUGACGGCCUUCGGGUUGUAAACUCCUUUCGACCGAGAGGAAGCCACAUGGUUGGAAGGGUGGUGACGGUAGUGGUAGAAGAAGCACCGGCUAACUACGUG